CGGGUGCUGUUCUUCUCGACAACGGUUGCAUUCCAGUGGCCUUAAGCAAUUCCGAGGGAAUUGGCUCUGUCUGGACCCUGGUCCAGUUAUCCGAUGCCCACCUGUACAUACAGGUCCUCGGGAAUCAUACCACCGAACGGUUGCUACGGGCCCGUC
This 156-nucleotide small RNA is filed under the name Roseovarius mucosus DSM 17069. RNAcentral describes it as "6S / SsrS RNA". The record is from RNAcentral. Lineage: Bacteria; Pseudomonadati; Pseudomonadota; Alphaproteobacteria; Rhodobacterales; Roseobacteraceae.